Molecule: long non-coding RNA, 922 nt
Organism: Nelumbo nucifera (sacred lotus)
Lineage: Eukaryota; Viridiplantae; Streptophyta; Magnoliopsida; Proteales; Nelumbonaceae
Source: RefSeq, a predicted model, not a curated record
CUCCGCAUCCAUGCAAAAACCCUUAUUCCACCGUCGACCGCGUCCUGUUCGUUGUACUCGGACCCCACGUGGGUGACUCUGCGAUCCAUCCCUGCUUCUGGAUCCUUGGGAAGAACCAGGUCGCGCGUCCACUUGAUGAAGUGUGCCGCUAUUGGUUGUGCCGUGACGAUUUGUUUGAUUACCGUUUCGUUUUGGUUUUUGUUUCUGGGCGGAGACAAUGGGGAUAGGAUUUUUCAAUUGAGGCCGCUAGCGGGAAUUCACAAGGAGAAGGGACAGCUACGAGAAUGGUGGCAUGAAUAAUGACUCGCGGAAGAGUAGGCUGCAUUUGCAAAAUGGGAGGCCAUCGGUAGAAGCAAUAUAUGUAUAUGCUACUUCAGUGGUGAUGCGAUCAGUGGCCUUCAUGAAUAGUGGUGUUUCUGUUGGACGAUACCUACCUCUGCCAAGGGUGAUUGACUUGCCUUAGCACCACAAGGGUGAUUGACUUGCCUGAGCCAAAAUUAUAGAAACCCUGCUGCCGACCUACUAGAGACCCAGCUGGCGACCUACCUCUGCCAAUCUGGUGACCUCAUGCAUAACUCGAGCACCUCGGCAAGGCGGCUAGGAGCACCUCGUCCAGGGCUGAAUUGUGGUACCUCGGCACGAGGAGCGACCUCCCUCGAGGACUUGUCAACUCAACUGAGGUCCAGGUGGUGACCUACGAGACGUGCUCGCCAACCUCUUCCAUGUGUGCAUCCCGUCACUCUAGGAUCUUCUGGAAGUUAGCUCCCGCAACGAAUGUUUCGGAGGAAACCGAAUAAGUCACAAAGCCUGGUCUACAUGCACAACUACCUCCGAGGACUUCGGACCGGCCAGCCAUGUCUUCCUGGAGAUCUCGAACGCGGUGCGUGAAGCCUACGACAAACAAUGCCUAUAUAAAGGUCUU